CCUACGGGAGGCAGCAGUGGGGAAUAUUGCACAAUGGGGGAGACCCUGAUGCAGCGACGCCGCGUGAGUGAAGAAGUAUCUCGGUAUGUAAAGCUCUAUUAGCAGGGAAGAAAAUGACGGUACCUGACUAAGAAGCCCCGGCUAACUACGUGCCAGCAUCCGCGGUCACACGGAGGGGACCAGCGUUAUCCGGAUUUACUGGGUGUUAAGGGAGCGUAGACGGUGAUGCAAGUCAGAAGUGAAAGCCCGGGGCUCAACUCCGGGACUGCCUUUGAAACUGUGUGACUGGAGUGCAGGAGAGGUAUGCGGAAUGCGUGGUGUAGCGGUGAAAUGCGUAGAUAUCAGGAGGAACGCCAGUGGCGAAGGCGGCUUACGGGACUCUAACUGACGUUGAGGCUCGAAAGCGUGGGGAGCGAACAGGAUUAGAUACCCCAGUAGUC
This 440-nucleotide ribosomal RNA is filed under the name uncultured bacterium. Its description in RNAcentral is "partial 16S ribosomal RNA". It matches the Rfam family "Bacterial small subunit ribosomal RNA", at positions 338 to 795 of the family's 1533-position model. The record is from RNAcentral.